GGAGUCUAGCAUGUGCGCGAGUCACUGGGACCAAACGAAACCCAAAGGCGAAAUGAAAGUAAAAGAACGCUCCGCGUUCCUAGGGAAGAUGGGCCGCGCCUCGACGCGGCCUCGCACUCCCGGGGCGUCUCGAUCUCAUCGCGAGAAGAGGCGCACCCAGAGCGUACACGCUGGGACCCGAAAGAUGGUGAACUAUGCCUGGUCAGGAUGAAGUCAGGGGAAACCCUGAUGGAGGUCCGUAGCGAUUCUGACGUGCAAAUCGAUCGCAGGAACUGGGUAUAGGGGCGAAAGACUAAUCGAACCAUCUAGUAGCUGGUUCCAUCCGAAGUUUCCCUCAGGAUAGCUGGCGCUCGCUUUUGCGAGUCUCAUCCGGUAAAGCGAAUGAUUAGAGGCAUUGGGGUCGAAACGGCCUCAACCUAUUCUCAAACUUUAAAUGGGUGAGAUCUCCGGCUUGCUUAGUGCGUGAAGCCGGAGAUCGGAUCAGAGUGCCAAGUGGGCCAUUUUUGGUAAGCAGAACUGGCGCUGUGGGAUGAACCAAACGCAGAGUUAAAGCGCCUAAAUCGACGCUUAUGGGAUACCAUGAAAGGCGUUGGUAACUUAAGACAUCAGGACGGUGGCCAUGGAA
RNAcentral lists this ribosomal RNA (625 nucleotides) under Trixagus meybohmi. RNAcentral's name for it is "eukaryotic LSU rRNA". It matches the Rfam family "Eukaryotic large subunit ribosomal RNA", at positions 670 to 1259 of the family's 3401-position model. Lineage: Eukaryota; Metazoa; Arthropoda; Insecta; Coleoptera; Throscidae. The record is from RNAcentral.